GAAAGUGAAGAAGGUGGAGAACAAGGUGUGAGCAAGUGUAAGGAGAGCUAAUCUUGUCGCAAGUGGGGGAUCGGGUGACACCUUUGUUGCCUAUGUAAAGGCUGUGGCUCAGAAGGGAGCAGAAGAGCUUCCUAACAUGGAAUGGAUUCCGGUCUGCUCACGCAAGGGGAGCUUUACUUUUGGUGAAGUUAGGUCCAUGGAAUUCAAUCGUCAGGAUAUUACAACAAUGCGUCUAGCGACAGGAACAACAACUGGCUUUAUUUCAUAUCUGGGAGCUCAAAAAGACGGGAUGUAUAUCCAGCGAGACGCUUUGAAUUCUCUUACUACAAUAGAAAUCUUGACAUUGCUGCAUAUGUUCCAACUGCAUAUGCUGUGGA
Molecule: long non-coding RNA, 377 nt
Organism: Brachypodium distachyon (stiff brome)
Lineage: Eukaryota; Viridiplantae; Streptophyta; Magnoliopsida; Poales; Poaceae
Exons: 3
Source: RefSeq, a predicted model, not a curated record